CCUCAUUCCAAACCCUAGCCGUCGCCAGCCUUGGAGCUCUCGGACGCGGCGGCUCCUCCUCCACUCCCCCUCGACUCCUCCUCCAUCCCCGACGCGGCGGCGCCAGCCUGCAGGUAUGUUGGCAAUAUCCAUCUUCAAGUGACGGACGCAAUACUGCAGGAAGUCUUCCAAAGCAUUGGUCCAGUAGAAGGGUGCAAGCUCAUCAGAAAAGAAAAGACCCCCACGUCCAGAGUUACAAGAAGAUCAAGCUUUAGCGAUGGCUGCUGCUGUGUUGCCUCCUCUUGUUGGACCGAAGAGAAGGGAGGGGAGAAGCAGCUGGCGUGCAGACUUCUACUCAGGUGGUCUUUUAUUCUCUAUGGGGCUUCUAGGAUACAUCUUCUCCAGAAGCACCAUAAGUCUUGUCUUGGGCAUUACACCAGGGCUAGCCACUCUGCUACUUGGCACUCUCAGUCUGAAGUUCUAGAGGAGCGACAGAUCUAGCUUCCUGCUUAUCUUGGCUCAGGCAGAGGUGAUGCUGAUGUGCAAGCAUCUUCACCUUGAGUUCUGCCUUGCCAGAAUGAAUCAAGUUUAUUUUCCCAUCCUGCUCCAUUUGAGGUAGCCCAAUCGUCUGUCCUCACAUCAACUUUCACUUUCCUUAAGCCUUUAGGUUCAUUUGUCUUAUAUAUACCAUGGUAAACCACACCAUGAAUAUGCCAUAAAUAAGUAACAAGAGUGUAUUGCAACCUUGAUUCUACAUGCUUUAGGUAGUCUAGAAUAUCAUAUUGUUGUAUAUAUUUAACACCUUCUGUACCAUCAAAUUCAGAAAUGCACUCAAGAAAAGGCUUUUCAAAACUCUUAGAAUGUAUUCCAAGAGCAGUGCACAUAUUCAGAAGCUGAUUAUGUAAUUUCUUAUAUGUUGCUUUGAGGCAAAUUGAACAGGGAUUUGUUUGGCUUCCAAAUGGUUUGUUGGUCCUAAAAUAGUCAGAAUCACAUGACAUCUGUGCUAUAGAUAUGGACCUCGGUGGUUUUCUCCACAUUAGGAAAGCUGGAAAAGCCUUUUGAACUUAGUUUUUUUUGCUAAUAGUGGUGUUAUGGUGAAACAGAGUUUUGUGUGUAUGUACCAACAGCUAAAAUGUAAACACGACAUUAUCAUAGUUGAGUACAGGAAUAAUUAUCUCUUAUAUCUUA
Long non-coding RNA from Zea mays, 1167 nucleotides. RefSeq lists it as uncharacterized. The record is from RefSeq and is a predicted model, not a curated record. NCBI's taxonomy places the organism in Eukaryota, Viridiplantae, Streptophyta, Magnoliopsida, Poales, Poaceae. The transcript has 6 exons.